Molecule: long non-coding RNA, 11170 nt
Filed under: Lathyrus oleraceus (garden pea)
Lineage: Eukaryota; Viridiplantae; Streptophyta; Magnoliopsida; Fabales; Fabaceae
Description: Pisum sativum (pea) long non-coding RNA (PSAT_LNC036409)
Rfam family: tRNA (bases 405-491)
Source: RNAcentral
GUGCCAGUACCUAGCUGGACUCUGGUUGGAUAAAAAAACAAACUAAAAAAGAAAAUAAAAAAUUAUAGAUUUAGAUUAUCUAUUUAGUAUAUAUAGAAUGAAUAUAUAUUUGAAUCUAUAUUUAUGAGUUAAUAUAGAAUUAUGAAUAGUAAUGAAAUUUAGAUUAUCUAUUUAGUAUAUAUAGAAUGAAUAUAUAUUUGAAUCUAUAUUUAUGAGUUAAUAUAGAAUUAUGAAUAGUAAUGAAAUAAAAUUAUAAUCAAAUAGAAAAAAAAAGAUAGAUAAGAUAUAUCAAAUGAAGAUCAAUAUCAAAUAAGAUAUAUAGAAGACUUUUUUCGAGCCCUACUUUUUGUUCUUUAUGUUUAUGCGAGGUAUCAUAAGCAUAAUCAUUUCAUUUUUUGAAUUGGGGAGAGAUGGCUGAAUGGACUAAAGCGUUGGAUUGCUAAUCCGUUGUACGCAUUUUUGUACCGAGGGUUCGAAUCCCUCUCUUUCCGUUUAUUGAUGAUUUGGCAUUUUUUUCUUUUGAACUUAUGGAAUUUUUUUUUUAUUAUUCCCUGUUUCUUUCAUUUUUAACUAGUUCUUUUUGAAAAAUAGAUAGAAAAACGAAAAAUAUUUCAAAAUCCAGGACAAGUAAGAAAAAAGAUUUUCUUAUUCUUCACGUCCAGGAUUACGUCCCAGAUCAUUAGAUAGGAAUCCGAAGAUGAAAAGAGAAACAAAGAAUAUCACUAUCGUGUAAACAAAUAGUUUUAGAGUAAGCAUUAUAAAAUCUCCAAGAUAAUUAAAAAAAACGACAGAGAAAGAGAAUAGAUUCUCUUAUAUUUCUUAUUAUGUUUCCUUUGAGACUCAGUUUAUAAGAAAUGAAGUUACUUCAAAAAAACUUAAGAAAUUGGUUUGUAGUAAGAGUUGAGCCUUUUUUACCAUUACCAAAAAUUGUAUUUCAUAUCUACAAUCAAGAUCCACGUAUUGUUGGUAGACUCAAAUCGAAUAAUAGAAUUUUUAUUUUUUAAUGGAAAAAAAGGAAAUGAUGAGAUGAUCCAUAUUUUUAUUGUCUAUCCAAAAAUUGCAAGAUUUGUAAUCACGGAUUCACACUGUAAAUGGUCGCGAGACCAUGUUCUUUCCAGGUUUACUCUGAGCGUUUCCUUUCCCUCUUUUGGGAUAAAUAACGCACGGUGGCGGCUCUGUUGUUUCUUGUUUCCCGCCGGUUUUUCGCGUAAUGCGACACAACUCAACCAUGCAAAACUCAAGAAAAGUUAUCCAACAUAUAGAAUUAGCACACAUAAGAUUCAAGAUACACUUUAUGAUCUCUAUCUUUUCACUUCAUAUAUCUUCAACUCUGUAACUGACUUGGACGUUGGAGUGAUAAUCUUGAAGAUAUGUCUUGUACCACUGUCUCAGACAUCAACACCACCGCUUCAAGAGUCCAAAAUCAUCAAUUAACACCAGUUAUGGUUCUCAUGCAAAACAUUGACGUCAUCUUUGGAAAUUGACUUCCGAUUCCUUCGAAACUCCACGAUCAUGUCAUUCUCGAUCUAGAAGCCAAAUCUCUACUAGAACCCCCAUAAGAUGAAGAGAAUAACAUCCUGCAUCUCACCAAAUAACUGUGUUGAAUUCCCCAUUCAUUCACCACUUAAACCCUUCGUCAUCGAUGAGAUCCGCAUGAAAGCGUUGUGUCACAGAGAUCUGCCACCAAACAACCUUCUUCAAGUGACGAUUGACACCAGAUCACAAAGUAAAGACAGAUUGGUGCAAUAAUUUCUAGAUCGUGAAAAGGUAGAUAGAAUCCAAAAUAUGGAGCUACUGUUGGUUAUAAUAGUUACAAUGGCGAAUCACACAGUGACAGGUUUCCUUGUGGACGAUGGGAGUUCAUGUAACAUCAUUACAUUGAUACACUUGGUUUUCUAGGACUCCACCAACCAAGUAUGAGUCCAUGAAGUAAUGUAAGUCUCACAACCUUUAAUGACUCUAUAACUUUCCCUUAUGUAAUGGCAGAUUUACCACUAUCGCUCGGAGAAUGGGAAGGUGAAAGGAAUGUAACCCUUUAUUUAUUAAUAGUUUUGUGUAAGAGUGAUUUUAGUGGCAUCAUUGGCUGGUCCUUUUUGGAAAAGUUGAAUGUUGUGGCUUCCCCGAUUCACCUUAAAGUAACGUAUCACAUAAACACUGGGAAGCCAGUCGUACUUGACGCCUACCUGAAAUCAAUAAUAUGUAUCCAUUAAGUUAUACUAGAAAACCUCCUCGCCAUCCGGCAUUGUCAAAGAAAGGUCCGGGAAGAGUGAAUAUGGUCGACCUUGAUGUGCAUGAAGACGAGGUCGGACAAAUUUCAGAUGGAGAUUUCAAAGUCGUUCAUCUUGAUGAUAAUCCCAUAUGAUCCAUGAAUAUAGGAUCCGAACUCCCUUUCAAAGUAAAAAAAAAUGUUAAUUAAGUUUCUUUGGGCUAAUGCGGAUCUUUUUGCCAUUUCCCCCUAUGAAAUGCCUGACAUCAACCCCACCAUAGAUUGUCAUUAGUUAAACAUCAAUCUCAAUGCCCAUUAUAUCUCCCCGUAAAGAAGAAAUCAGUCUCUAGAGAAGGUUGAGGCUAGUACUAACACGGUCGAAGGACUGCUAGACGUCAACUUCAUUUUUGAAGUGAAAUACAUGAAAUGGGUCUCUAAUGUUGUGCUAGUUAAGAAGGCUUGUGGGAAGUGAAUAAUGUGUGUCAAUGAUAUAUAACUUAAUCGAGCAUACUUUAAGGACUCAUAUAUGCCUCCUAACAUAUAAAAAUUGGUAAACAAACUUAGAUGGAUACAAGUUGUUAUCGUUCAUGGACAUUUGUUUUGGGUACAACCAGAUACAUAUGUUCAAACCUAAUAGGAAUAAAACGGAAUUCAUGAUCGACCAAUAUAAGUACCAGUACAAUGUGAUACCCUUUCGGUUGACAAAUUCGAGCGCGACGUACCAAAGGAUGAUUAAUAGGGUAUUUUUAAAGGAGAUAUGUGAGACACUAGAGGUAUAUAUGGGUGACAUGGUUGUGAAGUCUAGUCAAGAAGAAUCCCAUGACCAACACCUCUAGCUGGUAUUCAAGAUAAUUCGACAGUAUGACAUGAGGAUCAAUCUAGUGAAAUUCACAUUCAGAGUGAGAGCCAAUAAAUUUUUAUAGUUCUAAUUUAAAGAGAUAGUAAUUGAAGCCAACCCCGACAAACUCAAAGUAGUUGUUCAAAUGAGUGCACCAACUUCGAACAAGGAAGUCCAAAAGAUGAAUGGGAUGCUCAACUUCUUAAGCAGGUGCAUUUCAAAAAAAAUCCAUCAUGCAUUACCUUUCUAUAGAUUAUUAAGGAAAGAGUUAAAGUUUUAAUGGACAUGGGAAUGCGAAAAGAGAAUUCAAAUAACUAAAAGAGGUGUUAGCCACACCACCGAUGCUUACUCGUCCACUCCAUGGCAAAGUUCUCUUUCUGUACCUGGUCGCCUUUAAGGAAAUUGUUAGCAAUUUUCUAAUAUGAGAGCUAGAUUCCAACAAAAACAAAGUAUACUUAUUAUCAAAGGCUCUAGCUGGACCAGAGACACGCUACCAAAAGAUAGAGAAGGCAUAUGUAGCAUUGGUGACUAUGUCGAGAAAGCUCCUGAGGUAUAUCCGUGCACACUCCAUAGCAGUUCAAACUGAAUUACCCAUGAAACAUGUACUUAGCAACAUAGAUAAUUUACUAUCUCAUAAUUUUUUUUCAAUUAGGGAUAGUAAUAGCAAUAUAUAUGACAUAUAUUAUGCUUAUGAUACUAAUGAUACUAAUAUUACUAAAUAUAAAUGGACUAAUAACAUUAAUCGUUGCAUUGAGAGUUAUCUUCUCCCGGUAAUCUGUCUUUUGAUAAGAAUCAAGACGACGAUUCAGAUGGUCUUUUCCUCUUCCCGAAUUCCACACACUCCUUUCGAAAGUUUCUUUCCGAUCCAAUUAAUGGAUCGAAGCAUGUCUUCAUGCCGACGAGUCUUUUCGAAGAUUCCUCUUUCCGACCAUUCUUUAAUCAUAAUUUAAUGGGAUCACAGAAACCAUGUUUAUCAUAGAUUCAGUAUCUGAAUCGAAAGGUCGUUCUAUCUGAACUGCUUUUCAAAUGCUCGCACAGUGUCGCAUAUUCAUUUUGCGGUCGGAAUUGCUUAAAUGAGUCCAUAGCAGUUUGAUUUGAACCUAAACGAGGUAAUUUUUCAUCAUUGGGAUCGCUUAUAAUUCUUUGGAACAAUACUUUCUCUCUAUUUCUAGGAUAUAUCUCACUAUAUCCAAUAUUAUCCUUAUUAUUAGUCAUAUAUAUCAUCUGGUGUUAUCAUAUAUAUCAUUUGUUCACAUUUGUAUCAUUUUUCUAUUAAAAAUGGAUCGGGGGGUGGGGGUAUAUCUCAUGUGUGUUGAGUGAGUGUGUGUGGUACGGAGGGGUAUAUCGAGGGAGAGGUGGGGACAUAGUGACGCAUUGGGUAUCAUUUGUAUCAUGGUGUGGCUGUGAGUGUGCGAGUGUGGGUGAGUGGCUGAUAUAUCAUUUGUAUCAUUGGUGGUGGGGCGCUGUGAUGUGUAGAGAGGUGUGACUGUGAGAGUGAGGGUCCAUCUCUCUCUUUCCGUCCGUGGCUGCCGUGGUGUGGUGGGGGAGAAGGAGAAUCUCUUCUCGGUGUGUGCGUGUGCGCUGCGUCGUCGGUGUGGUGGGUUGGUGUGGUUGAGAGAGGAGUGUGCUGGUGUGGUGUGCGUGCGUGCGGUUGCGCUGGGUGGGUGUGUGUGUGUGGUUAGGAUGAGUGGAGUGGAACUAUGGUAUGGAUAGUGUGUGAUGUGAUUGAUGGAUGCAGUGCAGGAGGGGUGGGUAGUGACAAAGAUGAUUGAUGCAGUGAGUGACGUGUAAGGAGUAAUAUCGAGACAAAUGGUUAUAGGCAAAUGAUACAAGCGAGUGAUUAUGAUGCGCAGUGUGUGGGAGGUGAGUGAGUGCGCGUGAGUGAGCGAGAUGUGGGUACGAGAGAGUGAGAGUGAGUGGGCGAGGUGCUCGUUGUGUGGGUGGGGGGGUAAUUGAGAUAGAGUAUAAGAUGGGGAUACGAAAUAUGACGAGAUAUGAGGGUAGUGGAGGUGAUGGGUGGAGACAGGGCGGGGGCAAGGGUGAUANUAUGGUAUAUACGAUCCAGAUGAUAUAUAUGAGACUAAUAUAAAGGAUAUAUGUGAGAGAUAUAGUGAGAUAUAUCCUAGAAAUAGAGAGAAGAGUACUUUUGUUCCAAUAGAUUAUAGCGAUCCCAAUUGUAUGGAAAAAUUAGCUCGUUUGUGGGUUCAAUGCGAAACUUGCUAUGGACUCAAUUUUAAGCAAUUUUUCCGACCCAAAAUGAAUAUUUGCGAACACUGUGGCGAGCAUUUGAAAAUGAGCAGUUCAGAUAGAAUCGACCUUUCGAUUGACCGAGAUACUUGGAAUCCUAUGGAUGAAGACAUGGUUUCUGUGGAUCCCAUUAAAUUUGAUUCGAUUAAAGAAUUGGGUUCGGAAGAGGAAUCUUCGAAAGAUCGUCUGGAUGAAGACAUGCUUUCUCCAGAUCCCAUUGAAUUGGAUUCGGAAGAAGAAUCUUCGAAAGAUCGUGUGGAUUCGGAAGAGGAAAAAGACCAAUCUUAUAUCGAUCGUCUUGAUUCUUAUCAAGAAAAGACAGGAUUACCGGAGACGGAUUUAUAUUCACAAUGAAAUAUAAAAGUAUAAUACAAAAAAUAAAGGUUUAUUUUAUUUUCUAUUUAUAUUACAAUAGAUAAUAUAUAGAAUAGAAAAUGGGGCGUGGCCAAGCGGUAAGGCGGCGGGGUUUGGUCCCGUGAUUCGGAGGUUCGAAUCCUUCCGUCCCAGGUGAAACCGAUUGAUGAUAUCACCAGUUUUCUUCAUGAAGGCAUAAAAAGGCUUCUUAUACGUUUCUAGGGGAGGGGAUAUAUUGUUAAUCUAAAGUUGCUCAACCUACAUAUUAGGAAAAAGUCAAUAAAUAAAGUUUAUCGAUAAAUACCGUAGACCCUAUAAGCUUUUUUACUUAUUUUCAAUUAGUAUAUUUAGAAAAUAUACUAAUUGAAAAUCAAACAAUGAUUAUGAUUAUGCUAUUCUAUUCAUCUAUAAUAUUUUCAUUCAUCUAUCAUAUUUUCAUGUAAAUGGAGGAAAAAAAGAAAAAUCUAUGCAAAGAAAGUGGUUCAAUUCAAUGAUCUUUAAUCAUUCAUCUAUCAUAUUUUCAUGUAAAUGGAGGAAAAAAAGAAAAAUCUAUGCAAAGAAAGUGGUUCAAUUCAAUGAUCUUUAAUAGGGGUUUAGAAUACAGGUGUGGUUUAAGUAAAUCAAUAGAGGGUUUUGGUCCUAUUGAAAAUAACGGUGUAAAUUAUAAAUGAUAAAUGAUAAAUGAAGACCCAUCUAGUUUAACUGAUAUGGAUAAUAACAUUGAUAGCUGGAAGAACAAUAGUGAAAAUUCUAGUUAUGGUCAUGCUGAUUCUUUAGCAGAUGUCAGCAACAUAGAUAAUUUACUAUCUGAUAAAAUUUUUUCAAUUAGGGAUAGUAAUAGCAAUAUAUAUGACAUAUAUUAUGCUUAUGAUACUAAUGAUACUAAUAAUACUAAAUAUAAAUGGACUAAUAACAUUAAUCGUUGCAUUGAGAGUUAUCUUCGUUCUCAAAUCUGUGAGGAUAUUGACUUUAAUAGUGACAUUUGCGAUAAGGUCCAAAGGACUAUUAUAAUUUUAAUAAGGAGCACAAAUGAUACAAAUGAUAUAUCAGAUACAAAUGAUAUAUCAGAUACAAAUGAUACAAAUGAUACAAAUGCGAUAUAUGAUCCAUUUGAUAUAUCCGAUACAAAUGAUACAAAUGAGAUAUACGAUCCAUUUUUUAUAUUAGAUAUAAAUGAUACAAAUGAUACAAAUGAUAUAUAUGGUAUAUACGAUCCAGAUGAUAUAUAUGAGACUAAUAUAAAGGAUAUAUGUGAGAGAUAUAGUGAGAUAUAUCCUAGAAAUAGAGAGAAGAGUACUUUUGUUCCAAUGGAUUAUAGCGAUCCCAAUUGUAUGGAAAAAUUAGCUCGUUUAUGGGUUCAAUGCGAAACUUGCUAUGGACUCAAUUUUAAGCAAUUUUUCCGACCCAAAAUGAAUAUUUGCGAACACUGUGGCGAGCAUUCGAAAAUGAGCAGUUCAGAUAGAAUCGACCUUUCGAUUGAUCGAGAUACUUGGAAUCCUAUGGAUGAAGACAUGGUUUCUGUGGAUCCCAUUAAAUUUGAUUCGAUUAAAGAAUUGGGUUCGGAAGAGAAAUCUUCGAAAGAUCGUCUGGAUGAAGACAUGCUUUCUCCGGAUCCCAUUGAAUUGGAUUCGGAAGAAGAAUCUUCGAAAGAUCGUGUGGAUUCGGAAGAGGAAAAAGACCAAUCUUAUAUCGAUCGAUAUAUAUAUAUAUAUAUAUAUAUAUCUUUCGAUUGAUCGAGAUACUUGGAAUCCUAUGGAUGAAGACAUGGUUUCUGUGGAUCCCAUUCAAUUUGAUUCGAUUAAAGAAUUGGGUUCGGAAGAGGAAGAAGAGGAAAAAGACCAAUCUUAUAUCGAUCGUCUUGAUUCUUAUCAAGAAAAGACAGGAUUACCGGAGACGGUUCAAACAGGCACAAAUCAACGUGAGGAAAUCAAGUGGUUGUUCAAAGAUAUUAUGAAUCAACUUGACUUGUAUUUGCAAACUGCGAAAAGUCGUGUGGACUCGGAAGAGGAAGAAGAGGAAAAAGACCAAUCUUAUAUCGAUCGUCUUGAUUCUUAUCAAGAAAAGACAAGAUUACCGGAGGCGGUUCAAACAGGCACAGGUCAACUAAAUGGUAUUCCUUUAGCACUAGCUGUUAUGGAUUCUGAGUUUAUAGCGGGUAGUAUGGGAUGCGUAGUGGGUGAGAAAAUCACUCGGUUGAUCGAAUAUGCUACCAAUCUACUUUUACCUCUUAUUAUAGUAUGUGCGUCCGGAGGAGCGCGUAUGCAAGAAGGAAGUUUGAGCUUAAUGCAAAUGGCUAAAAUUUCUUCUGCUUUAUAUAACUUAAUCAAAUCAAUCAAAAGUUAUUCUAUGUAGCGAUACUUACAUCUCCGACUACUGGUGGGGUAACAGCUAGUUUUGGGAUGUUGGGGAUAUCAUUAUUGCCGAACCUAAUGCAACCAUUGCAUUUGCGGGUAAAGAGUAAUUGAACAAUUGUUGAAUAAGGAAGUGCCUGAAGGUUCCCAAUCGGCUGACCUUUUAUUCGACAGGGGCUUAUUGGAUGCAGUCGUACCACGUCAUCUUUUAAAGGAGUUUUAACUGAGUUAUUUCAGUUCCAUGGUUUCGUUCCUUUGACUUAAAAUUGGACUGAAAAUGAAAACUAAUGCAGACAUUUUAUUUAUUUUUUCAAAUUUGGUGACGAGAUCCAAUCCGAGUAGAUAAGAGGCUAUGGCUAUGAUACAAAAUAAAAUUAGAACACACAAGAGUAAAGUAAUAAGAUAAGAAUAAAAAAUAUAGGUAUAAAGAAAAUAUGAAAUUGAGGUAUCCCAUUUUAUGAUAAACUUACCAUCCCUUUUUGUUCCUUUAGUAGGCCUACUAUUUCCGGCAGUUGCAAUGGCUUCUUUAUUUCUUCAUGUUGAGAAAAGACUUUUAUUUUCCACAAAAAAAAUCAACAAAUAGUAUGAAAAAGAUAACUCAGAAUAUUCGAAGGAUUACUAUAUAUAUAAUAUAUAUAGUAGUCCAAUUUUUGUACGAUGGGACUGUAGAGGGUAUUAUAGUAACUGUUUUAUCGCUUGUUUUUGCUUGAAAAUUAAUUUGUUGGGCAGAAGGUCUUCCUGCAUACCGUUUAGAAGACUCGUGGAUUGCCUUUGUAGUAGGGUCCCAAAACAGUUUCACUAUUUUGUGUGGUUCUUUCAAAUUUUUACAUUCAUUUGGGAGGAAGUUUUUCGCUUACAUUCAGAUGAAGUUGUCCAGUGUGCCACGAGAAGAAAGGGUAAGGCUGCUUUUGUAUGCAAUUGUAAAGAUCUUUCUAACGUUAUAUCGAAUGAGAUUUAGUUAUCGUUCCGGCUUUUCUGGAAGAGAUCGUUGUAUUAUUCCCAAAGUUCCUAUGAACGCUAGUCAGUGCCUCAUACAAAAAACUAACCCAGAUAGUAAUGAUGUCCUUUCUAUGAAAACCAGAGAAAGAGAAAAGGGGACCAUUCCCUUGAGUUCUGUUAAUGCUAGUCCUCCACGCAACCGUCUAAAAAAAGUGUGGAGUUGCACAGAUUAUUGAGUGGACGAAUAGAAAAUGUUCCACCGAAGGACGAAUAAAAAAGCGAGAAUAACCUAUAAUAUAUCAAUUUAUAUGAAAAAAUUAUAAAUUGAUAUAUUAUAAGCUAAUUUGCUCUAUUACUUAUAUUUACUUGUAAUAGAACUUAUGGAUUAUUAUUAUAUAUACAGUUGAAAAAUAAGAUGAAACUGAGGACGAAAAAUGGCAAAAAAGAAAGCAUUCAUUCCCCUUCUAUGUCUUACAUCUAUAGUCUUUUUGCCCUGGUGCAUCUCUUUUACAUUUAAGAAAAGUCUGGAAUCUUGGAUUACUCAUUGGUACAAUACGAAAGAAUCCGAAAUUUUCUUGAAUACUAUUCAAGAAAAAAGUAUUUUAAAGAAAUUCCUAGAGUUCGAGGAACUGUUCCUCUUGGAUGAAAUGCUAAAGGAAUAUCCGGAAACACGUUUACAAAACCUUCGUAUCGAAAUCUACAAAGAGACCAUCCAAUUGAUCCAGACGAACAACCAAGAUCAUAUCCAUACGAUUUUGCAUUUCUGUACAAAUAUAAUAUGUUUCCCUAUUCUAAGUGUUUAUUCUAUUAGGGGUAAUCAAGAACUCAUUAUUCUUAACUCUUGGGUUCAAGAAUUUCUAUAUAAUUUAAGUGACACAAUCAAAGCUUUUUCUAUUCUUUUCUUAAUUGAGUUCUAUGUAGGAUACCAUUCGAUUGGUGGUUGGGAACUAAUGAUUGGGUAUGUGUAUUAAGAUUUUGGAUUUAUUCAGAAUGAUCAUAUUAUAUCUUUUCUUGUUUCUAUUUUGCCAGCCAUUUUAGAUACAAUUUUUAAAUACUGGAUUUUCCGUUAUUUAAAUUGUGUAUCUCCGUCGCUUGUAUUGAUUUAUGAUUCAAUUCCAUUCCAGGAAUGAUUGGAAAAACGACCCACUGAUCCAAUUCUAAAAUUUGUUUUUUUUUAUAUAAAAGCUAAACAUUCCAAAUUUCACUUAUUUGUUUUACUUGUAUUCUUCCUAUAAUAUAGGAAGAAUACAAGUAAAUAGCAUAAUCAUGGAUAGGGAACUGAGUAACCUACCUAAUCUUAUUGUAGAAAUUUUCAGGAUCAAGGAUUGUACCAUGCAAACUAGAAAUGCUUUUUCUUGGAUAAAGAAAGAGAUUACUCGAUCUAUUUCCGCAUUGCUCAUGAUCUAUAUAAUAACUCGAGCACCCAUUUCAAAUGCAUAUCCCAUUUUUGCCCAACAAGGUUAUGAAAAUCCUCGAGAAGCUACCGGCCGGAUUGUAUGUGCUAAUUGCCAUUUAGCUACUCCGUCGCUUGUAUUGAUUUAUGAUUCAAUUCCAUUCCAGGAAUGACUGAAAAAACGACCCACUGAUCCAAUUCUAAAAUUUGUUUUUUUUUAUAUAAAAGCUAAACAUUCCAAAUUUCACUUAUUAGUUUUACUCGUAUUCUUCCUAUAAUAUAGGAAGAAUACGAGUAAAUAGCAGAAUCAUGGAUAGGGAACUGAGUAACCUACCUAAUCUUAUUGUAGAAAUUUUCAGGAUCAAGGAUUGUACCAUGCAAACCAGAAAUGCUUUUUCUUGGAUAAAGAAAGAGAUUACUCGAUCUAUUUCCGUAUUGCUCAUGAUCUAUAUAAUAACUCGAGCACCCAUUUCAAAUGCAUAUCCCAUUUUUGCCCAACAAGGUUAUGAAAACCCUCGAGAAGCUACCGGCCGGAUUGUAUGUGCUAAUUGCCAUUUAGCUAAUAAGCCCGUAGAUAUUGAGGUUCCACAAGCGGUACUUCCCGAUACUGUAUUUGAAGCAGUUGUUCGAAUUCCUUAUGAUGUGCAAGUGAAACAAGUUCUUGCUAAUGGGAAAAAGGGGGCUUUGAAUGUAGGAGCUGUUCUUAUUUUACCAGAGGGUUUUGAAUUGGCCCCUCCUCAUCGUCUUUCGCCCCAGAUUAAAGUUUUCAAAGCUAUCGUCCACAAAAAAAAUUCUUGUCAUAGCCCGUUCUGGGAAAAUAUAGUGAAAUUACCUUUCCUAUU